Molecule: ribosomal RNA, 460 nt
Filed under: uncultured bacterium
Lineage: Bacteria
Description: partial 16S ribosomal RNA
Rfam family: Bacterial small subunit ribosomal RNA
Source: RNAcentral
CCUACGGGUGGCAGCAGUGAGGAAUAUUGGUCAAUGGACGAGAGUCUGAACCAGCCAAGUAGCGUGAAGGAUGACUGCCCUAUGGGUUGUAAACUUCUUUUAUAUGGGAAUAAAACGUUCCACGUGUGGGAUUUUGUAUGUACCAUAUGAAUAAGGAUCGGCUAACUCCGUGCCAGCAGCCGCGGUAAUACGGAGGAUCCGAGCGUUAUCCGGAUUUAUUGGGUUUAAAGGGAGCGUAGGAGGAUUGUUAAGUCAGUUGUGAAAGUUUGCGGCUCAAACGGAAAAUUGCAGUUGAAACUGGCAGUCUUGAGUACAGUAGAGGUGGGCGGAAUUCGUGGUGUAGCGGUGAAAUGCUUAGAUAUCACGAAGAACUACGAUUGCGAAGGCAGUUCACUGGACUGCAACUGACACUGAGGCUCGAAAGUGUGGGUAUCAAACAGGAUUAGAUACCCCAGUAGUC